AACGAACGCUGGCGGCAUGCCUAACACAUGCAAGUCGAACGAGACCUUCGGGUCUAGUGGCGCACGGGUGCGUAACGCGCGGGAAUCUGCCCCUUGGUUCGGAAUAACAGUUAGAAAUGACUGCUAAUACCGGAUGAUGACGAAAGUCCAAAGAUUUAUCGCCGAGGGAUGAGCCCGCGUAGGAUUAGCUAGUUGGUGAGGUAAAGGCUCACCAAGGCGACGAUCCUUAGCUGGUCUGAGAGGAUGAUCAGCCACACUGGGACUGAGACACGGCCCAGACUCCUACGGGAGGCAGCAGUGGGGGAAUAUUGGACAAUGGGCGAAAGCCUGAUCCAGCAAUGCCGCGUGAGUGAUGAAGGCCUUAGGGUCGUAAAGCUCUUUUACCAGGGAUGAUAAUGACAGUACCUGGAGAAUAAGCUCCGGCUAACUCCGUG
This 434-nucleotide ribosomal RNA is filed under the name uncultured bacterium. RNAcentral describes it as "bacterial SSU rRNA". It matches the Rfam family "Bacterial small subunit ribosomal RNA", at positions 29 to 507 of the family's 1533-position model. The record is from RNAcentral.